UUGAAAUUGUAGAUUUCGUAC
RNAcentral lists this microRNA (21 nucleotides) under Arabidopsis thaliana (thale cress). RNAcentral's name for it is "ath-miR4243". The record is from miRBase by way of RNAcentral. Lineage: Eukaryota; Viridiplantae; Streptophyta; Magnoliopsida; Brassicales; Brassicaceae.